RNAcentral lists this non-coding RNA (27 nucleotides) under Rattus norvegicus (Norway rat). Lineage: Eukaryota; Metazoa; Chordata; Mammalia; Rodentia; Muridae. The record is from RNAcentral.
UGGAAGAUAUAGAUAGCAUCAGCAGCC